AUGUCUAAGCAUGAGCUGAAGUAAAGUGAAGCCGCGAAAAGCUCAUUACAAUAGCCGUUGUUUCUUGGAUCUCCAAAUACUACAUGGAUAACUGUGGUAAUUCUAGAGCUAAUACAUGCGUACAUGCAUCAACUGGUGUAAGCCGGGCGAUGUGCAUUUAUUGGAUCAGAACCAUCCGGCCUUCGGGCCGUUCACAUGGUGAAUCUAAAUAACUGAGCGGAGCACACACUCUUGCAGUGGUGCCAGUUCUUUCAAGUGUCUACCUUAUCAACUUCCGACGGUAGUUUAUGUGCCUACCGUGGUUGUAACGGGUAACGGAGAAUCAGGGUUUGACUCCGGAGAGGGAGCCUGAGAAACGGCUACCACCUCUAAGGAAGGCAGCAGGCGCGCAAAUUACCCAUUCUCAGCACGAGGAGGUAGUGACGAGAAAUAGCAAGGCGGUGCCCAAUGGGUGCCGUCAUUGCAAUGAGAACAAUUUAAAUCCUUUAACGAGGAUCUAGUCGAGGGCAAGUCUGGUGCCAGCAGCCGCGGUAAUUCCAGCUCGGCUAGCAUAUAUCAAUGUUGCUGCGGUUAAAAAGCUCGUAGUUGGAUCUGGCGUUUAGCGGCGGGUGCACCCAGUCGGGUGUUACUCGUUCGCGGCGCAUUUAUAUAGUCAGUUGGCUGGCAGUGUCAUUCAUUUGGCUGCUGUCAGCUGCUGACAAGUUUACUUUGAACAAAUCAGAGUGCUCAAAACAGGCGUGUGCCUGUAUGA
This 751-nucleotide ribosomal RNA is filed under the name Eukaryota sp. RNAcentral's name for it is "SSU rRNA". It matches the Rfam family "Eukaryotic small subunit ribosomal RNA", at positions 55 to 802 of the family's 1831-position model. The record is from RNAcentral.